CAGUGAUAACACCGCCAUCAAGAAAUGAAGUCUUUCAAGGGAGAAUGAGCAGGAAGUGAUGGAGAAAUGCUGCAGAAGAAGUCCUCAUGGAAGCAUACGUCUCAUGAAAGGGAAAACGAGCGGAGAAGAGAGAGAAUAUCUGGAGUCAGACGUGACAACCUGUCUACAUCAAAGUGGAGAAUUCAGAGGAAAGAAGCAGUCCCGUAAAGCUCUCUCCCAGAGUUCACAAAGUUCCCACGUUGAUGAGUUUCUGAGAAGAUAG
Molecule: long non-coding RNA, 262 nt
Filed under: Oryzias javanicus (javanese ricefish)
Lineage: Eukaryota; Metazoa; Chordata; Actinopteri; Beloniformes; Adrianichthyidae
Description: lncRNA (ENSOJAG00000011608.1)
Source: RNAcentral